Molecule: ribosomal RNA, 235 nt
Filed under: uncultured bacterium
Lineage: Bacteria
Description: partial 16S ribosomal RNA
Rfam family: Bacterial small subunit ribosomal RNA
Source: RNAcentral
CGGGACGGGGUGAGUAAUGUCUGGGAAACGUGCCUGAUGGAGGGGGGUAACUACUGGAAACGGUAGCUAAUACCGCAUAACGUCGCAAGACCAAAGAGGGGGACCUUCGGGCCUCUUGCCAUCGGAUGUGCCCAGAUGGGAUUAGCUAGUAGGUGGGGUAACGGCUCACCUAGGCGACGAUCCCUAGCUGGUCUGAGAGGAUGACCAGCCACACUGGAACUGAGACACGGUCCAG